Molecule: ribosomal RNA, 492 nt
Filed under: uncultured bacterium
Lineage: Bacteria
Description: partial 16S ribosomal RNA
Rfam family: Bacterial small subunit ribosomal RNA
Source: RNAcentral
AGUGAACGCUGGCGGUAGGCCUAAUACAUGCAAGUCGAACGGCAGCACAGUAAGCGCUUUCCUCUACGGGUGGCGGCUGGCGGGCGGGUAAGGCAUACAUAGGCUUCCUCUUUUUCGGGGGGGAUUACGUGGGGCAACUUACGCUAAUACCGAAUAUGUUCUACGGCUGAAAUCAAGGGAUAAUCGGACCCUUCGCGUUUGAUUGAGACGAUGCCGGAUUAGCUAGUUGGGGGGGUAAAGGCCCACCAAGGCAACGAUCCGUAGCUGGUCUGAGAGGAUGAUCAGCCACACUGGAACUGAGACACGGUCCAGACUCCUACGGGAGGCAGCAGUAGGGAAUAUUGCACAAUGGGCGCAAGCCUGACGCAGCAAUACCGCGUGAGUGAUGAAGGCCUUCGGGUCGUAAAGCCCUGUUAUUGGGGAAGAAAAUCAGCGUAUGAAUACGCCGCUGUUCUGACGGUACCCAAAGAAAAAGCACCGGCUAACUUCGUG